AGGAAACUGAAGCUACGCCAAAACUAGAGAGCACAAGAUUGGGAAAACGUCUGGUCAGAAGAAUUUUGAUUUCUGCUGUGCAGGCGGUAGAAUCAGAAUUUGGGACAUGGGUCCAUCCUGCCUUGUGUCAGCUGUUCAGGGGUCGAAAAGACCUUGGGACCAAUCACUUCACCAGAAACAAAGUCUAAUUAGGAGAAAGGAAAAGGCCUUUUAAUUAUCGGCCAGGCUCCACCGCCA
This is a long non-coding RNA of Sinocyclocheilus rhinocerous, 237 nucleotides long. RefSeq lists it as uncharacterized. NCBI's taxonomy places the organism in Eukaryota, Metazoa, Chordata, Actinopteri, Cypriniformes, Cyprinidae. The transcript is spliced from 3 exons. The record is from RefSeq and is a predicted model, not a curated record.